RNAcentral lists this ribosomal RNA (460 nucleotides) under uncultured bacterium. Its description in RNAcentral is "partial 16S ribosomal RNA". It matches the Rfam family "Bacterial small subunit ribosomal RNA", at positions 338 to 795 of the family's 1533-position model. The record is from RNAcentral.
CCUACGGGUGGCAGCAGUGAGGAAUAUUGGUCAAUGGACGGAAGUCUGAACCAGCCAUGCCGCGUGCAGGAAGACGGCCCUAUGAGCUGUAAACUGUUUUUGUACAAGGGUAAACCUGAAUACGUGUAUUCAGCUGAAUGUACUGUACGAAUAAGGAUCGGAGAACUUCGCGCCAGCAGCCGAGGGACUACGGAGGAUGCAAGCGUUAUCUGGAUUUAUUGGGUUUAACGGGUGCGUAGGCGGAUUGAUAAGUUAGAGGUGAAAUGUCCGAGCUUAACUCGGGAACUGCCUUUAAUACUGUUGAUCUAGAGAGUAGAUGCGGUAGGCGGAAUGUAUGGUGUAGCAGUGAAAUGCUUAGAGAUCAUACAGAACACCGAUUGCGAAGGCAACUUACCAAUCUAUAUCUGACGUUGAGGCACGAAAGCGUGGGGAGCAAACAGGAUUAGAUACCCCAGUAGUC